CACCGCCCGUCACACCAUGGGAGUCUGUCGUACCGGAAACCGCUGAGCUAACUCGCAAGAGAGGCAGGCGUUUAUGGUAAGGCCGAUGACUGGGGUG
Molecule: ribosomal RNA, 97 nt
Filed under: uncultured bacterium
Lineage: Bacteria
Description: partial 16S ribosomal RNA
Rfam family: Bacterial small subunit ribosomal RNA
Source: RNAcentral